CAAGUUUGUAUACAUUCUAUUCAUAAUGUUAAUGUUAUAAAAUGUUUUUUUGCCAGUAAUAUUUUUCAGUGAAAGAAACAUCACUGUCUAGUUGUAGAACUUAUGUUAUGUCAGCAUAUAUUGAACACUAGACAUAAGCUUUAAAGGAACUUGUUAAAAAAUAUCAAAACGAACAAUUUAAAACUUUUUGUCUCAGAUUCAAAAUAGUAAAGAGUAUUUUAUACUAGGGACCUAAUAAAUGCUUAUGACAUAUACACAGACCCAAAAUAUAUGUUUAUUAAUGAAUAAUUAUCAUUUGCAAUUGACAAAAUUAUAAACAAUGCAAAUAUGAAACAAUUUAAUGAGUUGGAGUGUUUCAGUUGGUUUCCUUAUAUUGUAUUACAACACAUGGAAAGCUUUUAUGGUAAUUUAUGAAGUGUGAACUGCUGUCUGUUAAAUAAUAGUCUAGGUGGCUGAGUGGUUAGAGCGAUAGCAGUUUAAUUCAAAAGAUCCUGAUGAUUAAAGUCCAGCCCAAAUCUCAGUGAGGCUCAUAGUCAGACUUAGUUACAUCAAGGUGCAGGAACACGUGACUUAGUUACAUCAGGGUGCAGGAACAUGUGACUUAGUUACAUCAAGGUGCAGGAACAUGUGACUUAGUUACAUCAAGGUGCAGGAACACGUGACUUAGUUACAUCAGGGUGCAGGAACAUGUGACUUAGUUACAUCAAGGUGCAGGAACACGUGACUUAGUUACAGCAAGGUGCAGGAACAUGUGACUUAGUUACAUCAGGGUGCAGGAACAUGUGACUUAGUGACAUCAGGGUGUAGGAACAUGUGACUUAGUUACAUCAGGGUGCAGGAACCUGUGACUUAGUUACAUCAGGGUGCAGGAACAUGUGACUUAGUUACAUCAAGGUGCAGGAACAUGUGACUUAGUUACAUCAAGGUGCAGGAACAUGUGACUUAGUUACAUCAGGGUGCAGGAACAUGUGACUUAGUUACAUCAGGGUGCAGGAACAUGUGAUUUAGUUACAUCAGGGUGCAGGAACACGUGACUUAGUUACAUCAAGGUGCAGGAACAUGUGACUUAGUUACAUCAAGGUGCAGGAACAUGUGACUUAGUUACAUCAGGGUGCAGGAACACGUGACUUAGUUACAUCAAGGUGCAGGAACAUGUGACUUAGUUACAUCAGUGUGCAGGAAGACGUGACUUAGUUACAUCAAGGUGCAGGAACACGUGACUUAGUUACAUCAAGGUGCAGGAACACAUGACUUAGUUACAUGAAGGUGCAGGAACAUGUGACUUAGUUACAUCAGGGUGCAGGAACACGUGACUUAGUUACAUCAGGGAGCAGGAACACGUGACUUUGUUACAUCAGGGUGCAGGAAGACGGGACUUAGUUACAUCAGGGAACAGGAACACGGGACUUAGUUACAUCAGGAAGCAGGAACACGUGACUGUGGAAACCGAUGGGAGAAUGACAUAGCAUCUGUACCCGAAUAACACUACAAUGCAUAUAAAGAUAACUUGGACCAGAAUCCAUUUCAAAUGAAUGUGGUGCUGCAUUCCGGUUAAUAAUGCGCUUGCAACCAGAUAAACACAUCUACAAUUAUUUGCAGCUUACUUUUAGUGCAGUAAAGCUUCUACAUGAAGGAGCAAAUUUACGCUACUGUGUCGGUACUACCCUCCGAUCAAUAGACUGUCUUAGUUGUCAACCAUGUGACCGACCGAAACUAAUGACGCUACAACAGGGUAAACUUGUGGGUAUUUCAGCUAUUGUGUAUACCAGUUUGUUUGUUGACAUUGACGUAAAGCUGUGCUUUGCCGUGGAAAUUAUCAAUACAGUUGCAUUGCCAUAUAAAGUGCCACACAUAAAACUGUCCUUCUCUAACUAUAUUAACCCUUUCCAUGCUGGGAAGUUUGUCGUCUGCUAAAAUGUUGUCUUCUGAAUUUCUAAAAGUAGCAUUUUCUUAGAUUUUUU
Long non-coding RNA from Dreissena polymorpha, 1961 nucleotides. RefSeq lists it as uncharacterized. The transcript is spliced from 4 exons. The record is from RefSeq and is a predicted model, not a curated record. Lineage: Eukaryota; Metazoa; Mollusca; Bivalvia; Myida; Dreissenidae.